UACAAUGGCGUAAACAAAGGGAGGCGAAGGAGCAAUCUGGAGCGAACCCCAAAAAUAACGUCUCAGUUCGGACUGUGGUCUGCAACCCGACCACACGAAGCUGGAAUCGCUAGUAAUCGCGAAUCAGAAUGUCGCGGUGAAUACGUUCCCGGGUCUUGUACACACCGCCCGUCACACCAUGGGAGUCAGCAACGCCCGAAGUCAGUGACCUAACCGAAAGGGAGGAGCUGCCGAAGGCGGGGCCGGUAACUGGGGUGAAGUCGUAACAAGGUACC
Molecule: ribosomal RNA, 275 nt
Filed under: uncultured bacterium
Lineage: Bacteria
Description: partial 16S ribosomal RNA
Rfam family: Bacterial small subunit ribosomal RNA
Source: RNAcentral